GCCCGAGUCGUCGCCGCCGAAUCCCGCCGGGACUCUGUUGCCAACGACGGCCGUGCCGACGACUUGUUCCGGGACGACCGCCGCCGUCGAUUAUGAAGAAACACAAACGCGAACACUUGGAUUGCGGCUGACGUUAACUACUUUACUGCAGUUUCGGGGGACACGCGCACUCGCCACACACACACACACUCGACCACAAAUACACACGUACACACACCCGACACACACACACACACACACGUAUACCCGACACACAGACGUAAACACCCGAUACACACACAGACACAAACACCCCGACACCCGAAUAAUAAAAAAGAAAAAAAAACCGCGUACACAAUAUAAAUUAUACAAACCCGCGCGCCGUCCGAGUCGGUGUGUGUAACAAUAUAU
Cinara cedri is the source of this 390-nucleotide non-coding RNA. The record is from the annotation of a GenBank genome assembly. NCBI's taxonomy places the organism in Eukaryota, Metazoa, Arthropoda, Insecta, Hemiptera, Aphididae.